RNAcentral lists this ribosomal RNA (301 nucleotides) under uncultured bacterium. RNAcentral's name for it is "partial 16S ribosomal RNA". It matches the Rfam family "Bacterial small subunit ribosomal RNA", at positions 509 to 807 of the family's 1533-position model. The record is from RNAcentral.
CAGCCGCCGCGGUAAUACGGAGGGUGCAAGCGUUAAUCGGAAUUACUGGGCGUAAAGCGCACGCAGGCGGUCUGUCAAGUCGGAUGUGAAAUCCCCGGGCUCAACCUGGGAACUGCAUUCGAAACUGGCAGGCUAGAGUCUUGUAGAGGGGGGUAGAAUUCCAGGUGUAGCGGUGAAAUGCGUAGAGAUCUGGAGGAAUACCGGUGGCGAAGGCGGCCCCCUGGACAAAGACUGACGCUCAGGUGCGAAAGCGUGGGGAGCAAACAGGAUUAGAUACCCCUGUAGUCCCUGUCUAUUAUAC